Molecule: transfer RNA, 87 nt
Filed under: Phycisphaerae bacterium
Lineage: Bacteria; Pseudomonadati; Planctomycetota; Phycisphaerae
Description: tRNA-Ser
Rfam family: tRNA
About the family: Transfer RNA (tRNA) molecules are approximately 80 nucleotides in length. Their secondary structure includes four short double-helical elements and three loops (D, anti-codon, and T loops).
Source: RNAcentral
UGGAGCGGUGGCUGAGCGGUUGAAAGCACCCGACUUGAAAUCGGACAGGCCGAAAGGCCUCGGGGGUUCGAAUCCCUCCCGCUCCGU